GGAGAUUCUGACGGUACCUAAGGAAUAAGCACCGGCUAACUCCGUGCCAGCAGCCGCGGUAAUACGGUAGGGUGCAAGCGUUACUCGGAAUCACUGGGCGUAAAGGGCGCGUAGGCGGAUUAUCAAGUCUCUUGUGAAAUCUAAUGGCUUAACCAUUAAACUGCUUGGGAAACUGAUAGUCUAGAGUGAGGGAGAGGCAGAUGGAAUUGGUGGUGUAGGGGUAAAAUCCGUAGAUAUCACCAAGAAUACCCAUUGCGAAGGCGAUCUGCUGGAACUCAACUGACGCUAAGGCGCGAAAGCGUGGGGAGCAAACAGGAUUAGAUACCCUGGUAGUCCACGCCCUAAACGAUGUACACUAGUUGUUGGGGUGCUAGUCAUCUCAGUAAUGCAGCUAACGCAUUAAGUGUACCGCCUGGGGAGUACGGUCGCAAGAUUAAAACUCAAAGGAAUAGACGGGGACCCGCACAAGCGGUGGAGCAUGUGGUUUAAUUCGAAGAUACGCGAAGAACCUUACCUGGGCUUGAUAUCCUAAGAACCUUUUAGAGAUAAGAGGGUGCUAGCUUGCUAGAACUUAGAGACAGGUGCUGCACGGCUGUCGUCAGCUCGUGUCGUGAGAUGUUGGGUUAAGUCCCGCAACGAGCGCAACCCACGUAUUUAGUUGCUAACGGUUCGGCCGAGCACUCUAAAUAGACUGCCUUCGUAAGGAGGAGGAAGGUGUGGACGACGUCAAGUCAUCAUGGCCCUUAUGCCCAGGGCGACACACGUGCCUACAAUGA
RNAcentral lists this ribosomal RNA (776 nucleotides) under Campylobacter jejuni. Its description in RNAcentral is "bacterial SSU rRNA". It matches the Rfam family "Bacterial small subunit ribosomal RNA", at positions 462 to 1233 of the family's 1533-position model. Lineage: Bacteria; Pseudomonadati; Campylobacterota; Epsilonproteobacteria; Campylobacterales; Campylobacteraceae. The record is from RNAcentral.